GGAGUAUUUGCCCGACGCAAUCUCACAAGUGUGUUCAUAUAAUGUGGCAGAUAGGUCGAUGCCGUAACGAUCGGAUGAACUGAUCGGUUGGCAGACGCACAGGAAACUGUCGUCACCAAAGUUAUUAAGUCUGUAUGUUUUUUAUCUGUGCAGUGCACAGUUUAGCCUUUGCCUUUCUCGAUGUUUUUGAGAAGCGCGAGAUUAGAAUUUGGGGGCAUAGCUCAGUUGGUAGAGCGCCUGCUUUGCAAGCAGGAUGUCAGGAGUUCGAAUCUCCUUGCCUCCACGUAUUUCAAACCUGGAGACAGGGUUGCGCGUGAGCGCAGAAGGGUCUGUAGCUCAGUUGGUUAGAGCACACGCUUGAUAAGCGUGGGGUCACAGGUUCAAAUCCUGUCAGACCCACUUUUCCCGAUUGAGUCUCCCGUCUCGCUCUUUUGAUCAAAACCGAUCUUUGAUAACUGCAUAAAAUUACAAUAAUACUACAAAUUGAGUUUCAAAACUCAGCUGCUGCCAUUGGCAGUAGCAAUUAGAUAAAAAAGUUACUCUAACAGUGGGCAGGGAGAUAAGCACCCUGCCUGAAAGAUUUUCGAUUUUAAAAGAAAAGCUGGAACAAGCUGUUAAGAGCAUAUGGUGGAUGCCUUGGCAAGGGCGAAUUC
This 653-nucleotide unclassified non-coding RNA is filed under the name uncultured bacterium. RNAcentral describes it as "partial 16S-23S ribosomal RNA intergenic spacer". The stretch from base 326 to 399 matches the Rfam family "tRNA". The record is from RNAcentral.